This 233-nucleotide long non-coding RNA is filed under the name Paramuricea clavata. The stretch from base 64 to 136 matches the Rfam family "tRNA". Lineage: Eukaryota; Metazoa; Cnidaria; Anthozoa; Malacalcyonacea; Plexauridae. The record is from RNAcentral.
UAUAAACGGGUAUGUUUAUGACAUUCAGUAUAUAUUUCAUAAUUUCCAGUCUUAAAUCCGUCUGACCGUGUAGCUCAGUAGGUAGAGAGUCGAUCUAGUAAUUCGAAGGUCGCGAGUUCGAGACCCAGCCGCGGCAGACAACAUCUUUCUGCUCGCGCUGGGUAUGGAAAUUAUAUAAUACACUCUCUAGAACAUUUUCAUCUUAACAUGUUACAGAGUGUACAAUUACACAA